CGGGUAUGUUAAUAGAAUCAAAUACACAAUGUAAAGAUAGAUCAAAGAAACCGGGAAAAUCAUGUAAAAGAAGUUCAUAGUAAGAUCUCAAUCUUUUAUAUUAAUUUUAACAGUAAUCUUUAAAGAAAAAGAAAAAAACAAGUGAGCAAAAAAAUCAUAUGCCUUUAAGAAAAAACUUGAGUUUAGACAAAAAAAUCCGGC
This 201-nucleotide long non-coding RNA is filed under the name Mytilus galloprovincialis (Mediterranean mussel). Lineage: Eukaryota; Metazoa; Mollusca; Bivalvia; Mytilida; Mytilidae. The record is from RNAcentral.